RNAcentral lists this ribosomal RNA (129 nucleotides) under Staphylococcus pseudintermedius. Its description in RNAcentral is "partial 16S ribosomal RNA". It matches the Rfam family "Bacterial small subunit ribosomal RNA", at positions 1 to 124 of the family's 1533-position model. The record is from RNAcentral. Lineage: Bacteria; Bacillati; Bacillota; Bacilli; Caryophanales; Staphylococcaceae.
UUUAUGGAGAGUUUGAUCCUGGCUCAGGAUGAACGCUGGCGGCGUGCCUAAUACAUGCAAGUCGAGCGAACAGAUAAGGAGCUUGCUCCUUUGACGUUAGCGGCGGACGGGUGAGUAACACGUGGGUAA